This is a long non-coding RNA of Mauremys reevesii (Reeves's turtle), 535 nucleotides long. RefSeq lists it as uncharacterized. Lineage: Eukaryota; Metazoa; Chordata; Testudines; Geoemydidae. The record is from RefSeq and is a predicted model, not a curated record. The transcript has 3 exons.
AGGAAACCGUACGGGGAGAUGACGUGGGAGACAGUGGGGCAUGAAACUACCGAGGCCUAAAGCCGCAGGCGAAUCAGAAGAGAAACGGGCUGCAGCGCUGCUGGCUGCGGCUAGGGGCCACUGGACAGGGCAGAGCCCCACUCACAUGCAGAAGACACUGCCAGAGGGAUUCCUGGCAGCUGCAGUUCCCAGCAGGCACUGAAUGAAGGGGGCGGUGGCAGCACGCAGAUCGGCUGUUGCUAUUCUCAUUUUACACAUAAGGAACCUGAAGCACAAAGUUCUGCAAGGUCAUUCAAAGCUUCUCAGAUGUGUGCUCUAACACUAGACCCUACUGCCUUCCAUGACACGGAGUGGUAUAAUGGAUUGAUCAGCACUCACUGGGGAUAUAUGUAUUUAGAGUGUUCGCGUAUAUUUAAUUGCUCUUCCAGGUACAGUAUAUGAUAUGAAAUUAGCAUGGUGUUUUUCCUUCCUUAUAUGUGUAAUGACAUGAGUUAUGCCAGCAGAGUUCUAAGAAUGUUUAUUAGUAGUGGUUGCU